CAGUAGCCGCGGUAAUACGAAGGGUGCAAGCGUUACUCGGAAUUACUGGGCGUAAAGCGUGCGUAGGUGGUGGUUUAAGUCCGUUGUGAAAGCCCUGGGCUCAACCUGGGAAUUGCAGUGGAUACUGGGUCACUAGAGUGUGGUAGAGGAUAGUGGAAUUUCCGGUGUAGCAGUGAAAUGCGUAGAGAUCGGAAGGAACAUCUGUGGCGAAGGCGACUAUCUGGGCCAACACUGACACUGAGGCACGAAAGCGUGGGGAGCAAACAGGAUUAGAUACCCCCGUAGUCCCUGUCUCUUAUAA
RNAcentral lists this ribosomal RNA (301 nucleotides) under uncultured bacterium. RNAcentral's name for it is "partial 16S ribosomal RNA". It matches the Rfam family "Bacterial small subunit ribosomal RNA", at positions 509 to 809 of the family's 1533-position model. The record is from RNAcentral.